UCGGAUGGAAAAACCACCAAAAUAAAAGUUGUAGGUUUUGAAAUGUAAUGAAACUUUGUAGUUGACAACUUUUUGAUUUGGAAUCAUCUUAUCAUUGAAAAUUUCGUGUGAAGUUUUUAAAUUUAAAAUUCAAAUUUUAUAAACGGUCUCGGAUGUAGAAACUAUUAAAAUAAAACUUUUAGAUCUCAAAAAGUUAUGCAACUUUAUAGUUGGUCACAUUUUCAAAUAAACUCAUUUAGUGCCUUAAAUAAUCAAAUUACUCUCGAUUUGUUAUAGUAUAUGGGGAAUGAAAACGUAAUAUAAACAUAAUUGGUGUAGUAGUGUAGUGGUAUAGAAGGGUAUGCGCGAGAGAGAGGUUGCGAGUUC
Molecule: long non-coding RNA, 366 nt
Filed under: Zea mays
Lineage: Eukaryota; Viridiplantae; Streptophyta; Magnoliopsida; Poales; Poaceae
Description: long non-coding RNA (ZMAY_LNC001322)
Source: RNAcentral